UACGAAGGUGGCUAGCGUUGUUCGGAAUCACUGGGCUUAAAGAGCACGUAGGCGGCUUCGCAAGUGUCUUGUGAAAUCCCCCGGCUCAACCGGGGAGCUGCAAGGCAAACUGCGGGGCUUGAGGCAAGUAGAGGUAUGUGGAACUCUUGGUGGAGCGGUGAAAUGCGUAGAUAUCAAGAGGAACGCCGGAAGCGAAAGCGAUGUACUGGGCUUGUCCUGACGCUGAGGUGCGAAAGCUAGGGGAGCAAACGGG
This 253-nucleotide ribosomal RNA is filed under the name uncultured bacterium. Its description in RNAcentral is "partial 16S ribosomal RNA". It matches the Rfam family "Bacterial small subunit ribosomal RNA", at positions 524 to 776 of the family's 1533-position model. The record is from RNAcentral.